UAAAAAUAAUGAGGCAGGAAUUUGCAAACAGAAGGAAGAGAAGGGUGAUUGUGAAAGCAGAGCUGAGGCCCUUGAAAGCACCAGCACAAUGUCAGAGUGUCUUGGGAAUAGAAGCAAAUGUCAGGACCAGAGUAAUUAGCUUCCCUCAGCCAGGAUUAGAAAGCUGCUGUGAGACUACCAUCCUACCAGCACUUUUCAGGGCUACAUGAGAAGGCUGCUAAGGGCACAAACAAACUAUCUUCUCCCACAGCACCUACACUUGGAAAUCUAAAAAUAUCCCACUAAGGAAACAAAAAGAGCUUCAUUUUUUUACCUCCAAUAAAGUGCGCAGGAUUAAGCGAGAAUUUUUAAGGGGCAGAGAAGAAGAAAAGAAAAAUAUUAAAUUAUGUUACAGCAAAGGUAUAGUGAUCUCAUUCAGCGCUCACAGCAAGGGAUGCACCAACUAAUGUAGGUAGGGGGGAAGAGGAAGUUUUACCUGCCCAGGCUGCCUGCACAGGGAGGGCACCUGCUACUGCUGCUCGCCCCCUGCACGCUAUUCUCCAGAUGCACUACUGGGUACAUGGCUGUGCUGCCCAGCUCUUAUAGCCAAGCAACACAGGGCUGCCCCUGCCACAGUAAAGACUCUCGGGGGGAGAGUCUCACAUCCCCUUAUAAUUGGGGCCCAGGGCUAGUUAUGCUAAUGUGCUAGAAGAACAAGUCUGCUGGCGAGUGCACAUCCCAUGGCCAUUAGCCACCACCAUAAUUUGCCUUCAGCUGGCCUGGGUCUGAGACCUGUCUUCCAUGUGCUUCUCUCCUGCUGAUGCAGUUCUGCCCCAUGAGGCAUGCUUGAGAUGGCAGGCCCAGGAAUGACUUCCCCACUAGGAAACUGUCAAAGUGGAACCUGCUUCCAAAGUGAGCCCAACAUCAGAAUUACUGGCUAUGAGGUGAAGGCCCAAACUGGGAGACUGGGAUCUGUCAUUUCCGGUUGCAACUGUUCCAGUUCCUCAUUGUCAUUAGAGUUGACAGAGUCAAAAGUCUAAAAUGCAUAGGUGCACACAUGAUAUUCAGCCUUCGAGCCAUGUGAUAAGUGAAACAACUGAACCAUGGUGAAUUCUCACAUUGUUUUAAACUUGGCAGUAGUUGGAAGAGAUUUACCACAUCUAACUUUCCUUCCUUAUCAUUAUCAAAAUGACAUAAGUUGGCCCCUGAGGCAAUGAAAUCAAUAAAAUAGUUUUGCUGUGAUAAAUUUUUCUACUGACACACUAGACAAAUUACAUCAGCCACUUCCUUCCAGGCAUUACAUAUUUUUAUUUAUUAAGCAUAUGAGGUUGGAGGUCCUUUAUGGAAUUUCCUAUAAUCUUAGUG
This is a long non-coding RNA of Gavialis gangeticus (Gharial), 1344 nucleotides long. RefSeq lists it as uncharacterized. Lineage: Eukaryota; Metazoa; Chordata; Crocodylia; Gavialidae. The transcript is spliced from 3 exons. The record is from RefSeq and is a predicted model, not a curated record.